AAUAGACCUCUCAAAACACCCAAUUUAAGCAUGGAGGAAGAUGGUGAAAAAAUGGCUUAGCAGAUCUAGAUUUUUUUCUUAUGAUGUAGCCCUAAGCUAAGUGGAAUGAAGAAAAUGGAUCCACAUAGAGAUUAUGACUUAGAAGAGUUGAGUUUAAUUGGGAACCUAUAUAAUAUCAGUUGAGUGCUGGCUAGCCAUUUGAUCAAGACAUAAA
RNAcentral lists this unclassified non-coding RNA (214 nucleotides) under Hevea brasiliensis (rubber tree). Lineage: Eukaryota; Viridiplantae; Streptophyta; Magnoliopsida; Malpighiales; Euphorbiaceae. The record is from RNAcentral.